Transfer RNA from Caenorhabditis elegans, 73 nucleotides. Lineage: Eukaryota; Metazoa; Nematoda; Chromadorea; Rhabditida; Rhabditidae. The record is from Ensembl.
GAGUUUUGGCUCGACUGGUAAGAGGUGUGACUUGUGAUCAAUAGGUCCGGGGUUCGACCCCUCGUAAGGGUCA